ACUUUUUUCUCCGACCCGUGGAACAGUUCGCCAGUGCGCGACGGCCGUCCGCUGCGCCUACCGGACGUCAUGUGCAGGUCCGGCUGGAGAGAGGCCGGCACCAAACCCAAACCCAGAUCCAAACCCUCUUGACUAGGUCGUUCUCGAACCUGCCGCCGCCGUGGAAGGCUUGUCCAAAUCCAGCGGGGUACGGCGACCUUCGCUAGCUUCGGCCGGUGAGGGAUGGAAGAUGCUAGGCUCGAGUUCCUGCUUGAUGCCGUGGACAGGAUUUCGCUAUGUGAAGGGUUCGCAGACAGUUUAGAUGAUCCAGAUCCGGUCCCUCUGGCGGUGUUCCCACGAGUUGAUGUAGCCCCUACUGCUCAGGUGGACUCAAAUGACGGCUCAGGUUGCGGGCAAAGAUGUUGGGUGCGCAGUCGCGGGGGAGCCGCAGGCAAUCGAUCUGAUCAAUCAAUGGACAGGCUGAACCCGAGGCUCCGGCUUGGGCAAAAAGGUUAUCAGCUUGUCAUUGUGCAGCAUGUGCUGAACGAGAAGUGUGGUUCAGUGUAUUUGUUGUUGCUUCUUCUUGGAUGAGCAAAUGAUGGUAGCUGUUAGAAUUGGCAUCAUCCUGAAAGAUCUGCACUGCAUUGAAGGGACAAUUGCAUUGAGCAAAACUGCACUAUUACUAAACUACAAGACUAUGAAGAGCCGAGGGACGGAGGGAGUGGUGGCACAAGAAACAUUGAGGAAUAGUGACUACGACGAGCAAGGUUGAGGUGCAGCCAGCAAUGACGAGUCGACGACGACUGUCGCCUUCUCUAUGGUAAGAUCUCCAUUUUCUCUCCCUUUUUGUGUCAAUUUGAACAAUACACAAGUGCAAACAAGUUCCACUCAAGAGAAGUAUAAACAAGACACAACCCUCUUAACAAUGCCUUGCUGCUGGAAGUACCUGAAGCCUUCUUGGCACUUGAUUCAGCAGAUUCUCAAUUUCUUGUCACUUAUUUUCUUAUUUCUUGUAUCAGCGCCCUCCCAGGUACAACCGAAGACGACGAACUGUUUGAUGGUUUUUUUUGUCUUUCUCAGCUGUUGUUAUAUCUUAAUUAGAAAUUCACUUUUCAUUUAGUGUUAAUCUGAAUACGAGAGUGGAUUGAACUAGGAGUAAUCUGCUGCUUCUUAAUGUUCGAUAAUUGGAUCGAGAUUCACCCUCUCUAAUCAUUAUUAGCUUGGUAUAUUCUUGAACCUCAACAAGUCAUGAAGAAUCCCAUACUUCUUCCCGCCAGUUUAAUAUUGGCAAUUCACCCUUGUUGUUUACAUAUCGCUAAUCCGUUACCAAAUUACCAAAUUGUCUAAAUUUUCUUCCUCCAGUACAGUGUUUCCUUUUCAUUUCCAACUUUAUUAAAUCAUAUUAACUUUACUGAUUUGGAUGAGCUGAGGAUGAAAGAAGAGAUCAGUGCUGACACAUGGUGCUUCCCAUUCGAGCAAUUGGGGUGUGUAGAAAUGCUUUAUGACUUGCAUUCCAGCCGAUGAAGUUGUUAUGCUUGUAUUGUCACAUUAAUUAGGCCACAUUUUUGUCCUGUCAGAUAUCAGUGUAUUUUUAUUUGUAUUUGCAAUUAUUUUACUCUUUUCUCUCAAUUUCUAUUUGGUCUAUAUGGACCAUGGACAAUCAAUUUGGAUGCCUAUACCCCAGUCUAGAUUAUAUAUAUAUUUA
This is an RNA transcript of Triticum aestivum (bread wheat), 1684 nucleotides long. RefSeq lists it as uncharacterized. The transcript has 4 exons. Lineage: Eukaryota; Viridiplantae; Streptophyta; Magnoliopsida; Poales; Poaceae. The record is from RefSeq and is a predicted model, not a curated record.